CACUCCGGUGGCUUAAUGGUUAGAGCAUCCGCCUCGGAUGAGGGAGGUCGUGGGUUCGAUCCCCGGUCGAGUCA
This is a non-coding RNA of Potamilus streckersoni, 74 nucleotides long. NCBI's taxonomy places the organism in Eukaryota, Metazoa, Mollusca, Bivalvia, Unionida, Unionidae. The record is from the annotation of a GenBank genome assembly.